This 460-nucleotide ribosomal RNA is filed under the name uncultured bacterium. RNAcentral describes it as "partial 16S ribosomal RNA". It matches the Rfam family "Bacterial small subunit ribosomal RNA", at positions 338 to 795 of the family's 1533-position model. The record is from RNAcentral.
CCUACGGGUGGCAGCAGUGAGGAAUAUUGGUCAAUGGACGAGAGCCUGAACCAGCCAAGUCGCGUGAAGGAUGACUGUCCUAUGGAUCGUAAACCUCUUUUAUAAGGGAAUAAAGCGCGGCACGUGUCCCUUUUUGUAUGUACCUUAUGAAUAAGGAUCGGCUAACUCCGUGCCAGCAGCCGCGGUAAUACGGAGGAUCCGAGCGUUAUCCGGAUUUAUUGGGUUUAAAGGGUGCGUAGAUGGCUUUUUAAGUCAGUGGUGAAAGUCUGUGGCUCAACCGUAGAAUUGCCGUUGAUACUGGGAGUCUUGAGUACAUUUGAGGCAGGCGGAAUGCGUGGUGUAGCGGUGAAAUGCUUAGAUAUCACGAAGAACCCCGAUUGCGAAGGCAGCUUACCAAGCCGUGACUGACACUGAUGCUCGAAAGCGUGGGGAUCAAACAGGAUUAGAUACCCUGGUAGUC